GGAAGGUGCCAGAUUAUUGCAUCAGAUUGCUUGUCAGCAUUGUUUCCACAAUUUGUUUUUAUUCUGUCCUUUUCUUGCCAGCGUGCUCUUGUUCCAUCUACAUCUCCUAGGGUUAUUGUGGACUACAGAGCCAGCACGAUGGUGAUGGAUGAGCCCACCCCACCCAGCCAAGAGAGGCGGGUGGUCUCAAGGACCCACCCGAGAACAGCCCGCGUGACAGGAAACCACCCACACCAAGGGAUCCAGAGCGGUCCACCAGCCUCACCGAAGCACCCUAAAACCGCCGCCCCCAACUGCCAACCACCACACCAGCCCGCCAUCCCAUGCGCCCCUCUGCAGCACCCCCUGCCAUUCACGGGACAGCGAGAUGCCCUCCCCCAACCAGUAGAGCCUGCCAUAGUAGUCAGCCUCAUCCCAGCCGUAGAGUGAGCCAGUGACCCGUGCCAGGUGGACAGGAGGGCGGAUAGGCAGGGCACGAGAGGGGGUUCCCACCCCCCACAGCCAUCUGGACAGAGGGGUCCACCCCCACGAGCCUCGCCAUGAAAUUAGUAGAUACCUCCCCCCCUGUGACUAUGACUGCCAGAUCCCCGACUGGCAGUCAUUGGCCCCCCGUGUGGUGUGAAAUCCUUUUCAAUCUAUAUUCAAUUGAAUCAAUUGUCCCUGAAAAAGACAUUUCCAGAAUGGCAGCAUACAGUAUAUUGCUCCAAAACCUAUGCUGGCUUUCGAACUUUGCACUGAUAACAAUCUGGAUGGUCCUUUUCCUCUUUGGCCCGGAGGACACGACACAAGUGAUUUCCAAAAACAAUUUGAAACGUGGACUCGUCAGACCACAGUGUCAUGGACUGCCCUGCAGUACUGUUUUGGAGCCUGGAUGGUGCUUUGCGCCCUCUUGUCCUAUCUCUCCCCUCUCUGUUUCAGCUUCUCCUCAAGCCACGCACCUGUCCCCAAUCAACCCUCAUCACCACCUACAUUUAAGCCUGCCUCUUCCCGGAAAUCCUCGCCAAAGUAUUGCAGCCUCUCCUAGCGGUAUCACGGCCCACCAUACUCAAUUAAGCUACUAAACUCCUCGUUCCCUUGUUAACUCUUGUGUCUCCUCGUUCCCAGUGUUCUUGACCCACGUCAUCCCUGCCUGCCACCUGUCCACGCCGCCGCCUGUCAACACA
Long non-coding RNA from Phyllopteryx taeniolatus (common seadragon), 1163 nucleotides. RefSeq lists it as uncharacterized. The record is from RefSeq and is a predicted model, not a curated record. The transcript is spliced from 3 exons. Lineage: Eukaryota; Metazoa; Chordata; Actinopteri; Syngnathiformes; Syngnathidae.